Molecule: long non-coding RNA, 3618 nt
Filed under: Glycine max (soybean)
Lineage: Eukaryota; Viridiplantae; Streptophyta; Magnoliopsida; Fabales; Fabaceae
Description: long non-coding RNA (GMAX_LNC001702)
Source: RNAcentral
AAACAGUGGAUGCUGCAUUGUUAAAAGCCAUUGAGAGUGUGCCAGACUUGAAGUCUUAUUUGGGUGCCAGGUUUUCUCUAAAGGCUGGCGUGAAACCUCAUGAGCUAGUCUUCUAGAGGAAAGAAGGGUGUUACUCUUGUUUUUGAUAACCUGUUUGUUUAUUGGUGUUGAUCCUUAUAGUUGCACUCUUAUAACAUUCUUGUUAACAGACAAAUGAAGAACCUAAAAUUUUGUUAGGCAAUCGAUUGUGACGCGUGCUCUUUACAUUUUGUUGAUUGUGUGAAUUUUAGAUAUUGUGUGGACCUUUAGCACGCCAAAUGAAAAAAAUUGGAAACAGAUGUACAUGUGGUCAAGGAAAUCUUUCCAUAAUACAUUCAUAAAAUUUUAAGAUAUAGAUAUUAGAAGAAUCGACAAUGACUAGGAUGAAUCUUCCCGAGUAUUUUUUUUGGCUUUUUAAUAUACAAUAGCUACAUGUUUUGUUGCCCUUGGCUUCUGAAGUUAUAAUUUUCUGUUCACUUGUUUUUUUUUAGAGAAAAUUGACUUGCAGCAGUAAUUUAGCUUUUGGAAAAUUUUAAACACCUCAAUAUAAGUCAUAUUAUAAUCAUGUUUAAUUAUAUUCUUGUUUAGACUAAAUUUGAAAAAAUAAUCCUUUAUUUUUUGAAGUUCUUUUUGAAAAGCUGAUAAACGUGAAGUAUUACUUUUUCAUAAUAAAUUUAAUACGGAUUUUUUUAGAGAAAAGUUUAGGGUAGUGGCUGUGUCAGGACAUGCUUCAGGUCACCACGCAAUUAAUAUACACUAAUAAUAGUAUUAAAAAAAAUGAAAACUUUUCCUUCUUAAAUUUGGAUGAAAUUUACACUUUCAAAGGUAAAGAAUAAUAUAUUAUUUUUAAAGUUUAAUGCCUAUGUAUCAUUCAAUUAUAUUAUAAAUUAUUAUUUGAAUUAUUUUAAAAUGAUUAUUUUAAAAGUGAAAAAAAUUAUUAUAUAAUGAACUAUGAUUGAAUGAUUGUAUAAUUUUUUUCGUGAGAAAUAAAGGAUAACAUAAGAUGUAAGGUUCGAUGAGAUAAUGAUCCAAGCUCAGCAAAUUAGUUGCCUUGGCGAUAAAAAUGUUGAAAGGAGAGGUUCUAUUUACGAGCUUUGAAGUUGCUGGUCCUUCGAAUAAGGGUGGUAUGCAGUGCCGUUCACGUCCAACAAUUGCAAAACAAUAAGAGAAUCUGAGUCACAUAUAAGUAUUAGUUGACGAAAACCAGCGUCCCAAGCUAUUUGAAGACCGUGCAUGAAACUCAGCAUUUACAUUUGUGAUAAAACCGCCAGAACCUUUGAAACCAAGAUGUCAUUGGUCAGGAUCAUCUCUGAGGAGGCCUCCGGAUAAAAAUUAAAUAUCAUAUUAGAAAUUUAUAAUACUCAUAUAUUCUGCUGAAUAUUUAUGUGAGCCAAAGAGGAAAAAAAACAGUUUUUCAUUCAUAGGUACAAGAUUCAAUCCUGUUCUAAUAGGAAAUAAUGCACAAUAAAACUAACUCUCACAUCUAACAAACAAAAGAAAAAAAAUAACUUACUUAUUACUUAUAGAAAAUAAAAUCAUUUAAAUAGUUUGAUGGCACGUGUCAAUUUAUACAAAUUAAAUUUUAAUUAGUAAAAUGAAGACUGGUAUACUAAAAAAAAUUAUGGACACAUUAGUCUGGGCUUGGAGCAUGGAUCCUUUGAGUCAGGUCAAGGCCCGUUAGAUUUUAUACAGAACAGGUAUCUAUAUGUCUGAUUUUCAUUUGCGCAUUAAACGAGAAUUAGGGUUUGUAGUGCAGCAGGAAGAAGCAAUAAUGGCGCCGAAGAUAACACGUAAGGUUAGCAGAAACCCCGAAUUGAUAAGGGGAAUCGGAAAGUACUCGAGGUCUCAAAUGUACCACAAGAGGGGCAUUUGGGCUAUCAAGGCCAAAAACGGUGGCGUUUUACCUCGCCACGGCCCUAAACCCAAACCUGAAACUCCCGCUGAAAAACCACCCAAAUUUUACCCUGCUGACGAUGUCAAGAAACCCCUUGUCAACAAGCACAAACCCAAACCCGCGAAGCUCAGGUUCAUUUUCACUUCAUUCUUAUUUGUUUUGACUUAUUUUAUGGUGAUGCUAGUAAAUAAAUUGGGGAUCUGGAAAUGUAGGUUAUCGCUAAUUGCUGAUUGCUGAUUGCUAAUUAAUAAAAUGAAUGAGUUUUUUUUUCUUAAUAAAAUUGCUUUGGUUUAAUGAUGUUUUAUUUAUAUAUGGAGCUCAUGGAGUGUGAUUUUGUGUUGGGUGUGUGUUCAGGGCUAGCAUUACUCCCGGGACAGUGUUGAUUCUUCUUGCCGGUAGAUUUAAGGGAAAGAGGGUCGUCUUUUUGAAGCAGCUUCCUUCUGGGUUGCUUCUUGUAACUGGUGAGUUUUGUCAUUAAUAUGAUACUUCUUAUUACUGAGAUUUUGCAUGCUAAGCAUAUUGUUUAUUGUGUGAUGUUUUUGAUUGUUGUUAUCAAUUGAAUUUAUAUUGUAGUUGUUGUUGAUAAUUGCUUUGUAAGUGUUGCUUGAGGUCUGUACUUCUGUUUCAACUCACAAUUUUGUUUGUUGUUAUGUUGCUUUUCCAUUUUGUGUAUUUUUAUGUGUGUGCGUGUAAAUGUUAGUGAUUAUGUUGGGGGUGUGCUUUAGUUUAGAAUGUAGAUUGACAUUGGUUUUUUGGUACAUGUUGAUCUCAAAUUUUAAUAGCACUUGACUCUUGCUUUUCUGAGAUGUACUAUGUGCUCCGUCCAUUUCUGGUCUGGCUUAUGUUUGUCACUUGCCACUUCAGGUCCUUUCAAGAUUAAUGGAGUUCCUUUGAGACGUGUGAAUCAGUCCUAUGUUAUUGGCACUUCAACCAAAGCAAAUGUCUCUGCUGUUAAUGUCGAACAGUUUGAUGACAAAUACUUUACAAAGGAAGCCCAGAAGAAGAAGAAGGGAGAGGGCGAAUUCUUUGAGGCAGAGAAGGAGGUGGGAUUGUCUAUUUUCUUAUUUUGUUGAAGUUCUUGUUAUUUGUAGUUAGUUCUGCAUGCUGAUCUCUGUCUUUUUCUUCUUUCUGAUGCAGGAAAAGAGUGUGUUGCCCCAGCAGAAGAAAGAUGACCAGAAAACUGUUGACUCUGCGUUGAUAAAAGCCAUCGAGAGUGUUCCAGACUUGAAGACUUAUCUGGGUGCCAGGUUUUCUCUAAAGGCUGGCGUGAAACCUCAUGAGCUAGUCUUCUAGAGUAAAGGGGUGUUACUCUUGUUCUUCAUAUCCUGGUUGUUUAUUGAUGUUUGUCCGUAUAGCUGCGCUCUUAUAACUUGUUAACAGACAAAUUAAGUACUUAAAAUUUUGUUAAGGUUACCAACUGUGUCUCGGAUAUUCCUUCCUGCAAUUUUGCUCCUUUUCACAUUUUGUUGAUUGUAUGAAUUUUAGAUGUGUUUGGGGCUUUCAUCUUGUCAUGGCAAAUGAAGUGGUGCAUAGUCAUUAGUGGAUGCUACCUGGUUGAUCCUGCUAGUAUUGAUAACUAUAUUCUUUUAGCAUGUGGUUAGGAGUUUGAUUCUUAAGUCAGUGUGUAUGGAAGAAUAUCUUUAGUUGAGAGGUUAGAUUGUUAAAUGAAUUUUCGGAUUGGGAGA